Molecule: transfer RNA, 77 nt
Filed under: Magnetococcus marinus MC-1
Lineage: Bacteria; Pseudomonadati; Pseudomonadota; Magnetococcia; Magnetococcales; Magnetococcaceae
Also listed under: 1 other name
Description: tRNA-Arg (ACG) (tRNA-Arg-ACG-1-1)
Rfam family: tRNA
About the family: Transfer RNA (tRNA) molecules are approximately 80 nucleotides in length.
Source: RNAcentral
GCGCUCGUAGCUCAGCUGGAUAGAGUACCUGGCUACGAACCAGGUGGUCGGAGGUUCGAAUCCUUCCGAGCGCGCCA